Molecule: transfer RNA, 69 nt
Filed under: Rattus norvegicus (Norway rat)
Lineage: Eukaryota; Metazoa; Chordata; Mammalia; Rodentia; Muridae
Rfam family: tRNA
About the family: Transfer RNA (tRNA) molecules are approximately 80 nucleotides in length. Their secondary structure includes four short double-helical elements and three loops (D, anti-codon, and T loops).
Source: Rfam by way of RNAcentral
GGGGAUUUAGCUCAGUGAUAGAGCGCUUGCCUAGCAAGCACAAGGCCCUGGGUUCAGUCCCCAGCUCCG